This is a non-coding RNA of Elaeis guineensis (African oil palm), 1906 nucleotides long. NCBI's taxonomy places the organism in Eukaryota, Viridiplantae, Streptophyta, Magnoliopsida, Arecales, Arecaceae. The record is from RefSeq and is a predicted model, not a curated record.
GUCCUAGGAAGAUAGCUUUUAUCCUAGACAUCCGUUUUUAGAAUUUUUAGCAUCUAAUUCACUAUACGUAGACUUGCUAAUUUUCCUUGUACCAGUACAGUGCCAACUCCCUACCCAGCCGCUGCUGUCGCCACCUCUCGUUGGGCCGGCGGCGAGCCUUCACAAGACGCCCUCUGCCUCCCAAGUCUUCUACUGCGUCGCCGAUUUCCGAAAGGUGGCGCCUUUGGACCUCUCCGAUCCCAUUCCGUAUUUGAUGUAAAUCAUCUCUUGCUGCUGCCGUGAUAGAUUGGUUGUGGAGGAUUCUAACGCAGUGCAUCCUUUUUUGUCACGAUGGCGCUCGGUGGAAUCGAUUUUGACCUAAUUUGAUUAGAAGAAAUUUCUGAGGGAGUGUACAGAGCCGGCUACUUGUUUGUGCUUCAUUCAGGAAGAAGGCGUACAUGAUGGUUGAAACAACUGAUCCUACAUCUGCAAAAUCCCAUUGUCAAACACUGGAGAACUAGGGGAAACAGAAUGUCAGAUUUUCUAAUGUUUCAUUUGUUAUACUACCAUAUGAACAUUACCAGCAACUUCCUGUCCCAUCACUGCAUGCAAGAACUUCCCUGGAAUACCAGCUUUGAGAUAAGCCUUCUUAGUUUUCAGAUAUUGAUUCAACUUAUAAAUACUUUCACACAUUUCCAAAACAGAUACGUCAGUUUGUAGCAAAUUCUUGUCAUAGAAUGAUGCAGCAGACUGAGGUAAAGAAAUUCUAGAAUGGCCUAUAUUUUGUUUGCUCCCACUGUUCAUUCUUUCGAGUUUUCUUUCAGGAUUCUUGUCAUCAACUGACUGAUAUUUGUUGAAGCUAUAUUGACCAAUCCCUGGUAAUGGCAGAGGGGGAUUUUCAAGCUCAACUUUUUGGCCUGGGUUUUCUGACCUCAUAUCAUGGUUAGUGAUAUCUGGAGCACUCUGCUUGGACUCUAACUCCCAUAUAUCAUUCAGGGAAUACGAUGCACUUGAGUUGGUGAUGUCUCGUUCUGAGUCAAGUGUCUUUUCUUCAGCUGACAAGGUGAAACCAUGUCUUCUAAUUCCAUGAAAUUGAGGAUGAUCUCUUUUUUGGGGAUACAGUACCUGGGGAAGCCAACAUGGCUGGUUAGGUACCACCAAGAAAAUAGAACUUAAUUCCUUUGCUUCUAUAGUAUUUUCCAAUUUGUCAAGAUUUAUUAGACUUUAUGUCUACCAAAGCUUGGAGCCACCGGAUUGGAGCUCCGCAUACUCUUUCGAAUUAAGUGUGAGUCGAACAGCUCUCUUUUGCUCCUUGUACUUGGAUAGAGAGAUGGAGGGAGUGCUUAAUAGAGGAUGGAGCAAUUCAGUAAUUUAUUCAUCGUGAUGUCCGCCAAUGAGCUUUGGAUUAAUCUCCCUUCCUUGCUGUUAGUCAUUGUUUUUAUUGUUACUAGCCGUUGCUUGGACAAGGCUUUUGUCUUUGAUUGCGGCCUGAAACACCUGUUGGAAGGCAUCAUCUGGCACUUAACAGCCUUAUCAGGUUCUGUAGUAUAAUGAAUUGAACUGCAAAUUAAAUUGCAGGCCUGGACUCCUGUCCGGGUACAUGUUGUUCCACUGAUAAAAAUUGUAAGAUGAUCACUUCCAACAGGAAACAUAGGUCAUCCUUCCACAGAUAAAUUUAAGUUUUGAAGAAGCCAUUGAUAAAAGUUGUGAUAGGUUACUAGGCUUUGAGAUGUCAUUGAUGCCACCAAGAUGAUCUUUUCUUUCUUCUUCUUCUUUUUUUUUCUUUUUUUUAUAGUGAAAAGGAUGCUACCAAGGUGUUCAUAGCCAUAGUUUGUAACAAGCUUUCAUCGAUCCUGUCGCUUUAAUCCCAGGCACAUUGCCUAUGUAUUCAGAUCUUCCAAAUUUUAAACAUAUUCUUUUUUAUGCA